This is a non-coding RNA of Pangasius djambal, 72 nucleotides long. Lineage: Eukaryota; Metazoa; Chordata; Actinopteri; Siluriformes; Pangasiidae. The record is from the annotation of a GenBank genome assembly.
UCCCUGGUGGAAUAGUGGCUAGCAUGUGAUGCUCUCAUUGCCUCAGUCCGGGUUUGAUUCCCGGUCAGGGGA